Molecule: ribosomal RNA, 490 nt
Filed under: uncultured bacterium
Lineage: Bacteria
Description: partial 16S ribosomal RNA
Rfam family: Bacterial small subunit ribosomal RNA
Source: RNAcentral
GAUGAACGCUAGCUACAGGCUUAACACAUGCAAGUCGCGGGGCAGCAUGGGGGUUGCUUGCAAUCCCCGAUGGCGACCGGCGCACGGGUGAGUAACGCGUAUCCAACCUGCCCUUCACCACGGGAUAACCCGGCGAAAGUCGGACUAAUACCGUAUGUUGUCCAUUGACGGCAUCCGAUUUGGACGAAAGGCUUGGCGGUGAGGGAGGGGGAUGCGUCCGAUUAGCCAGACGGCGGGGUAACGGCCCACCGUGGCUACGAUCGGUAGGGGUUCUGAGAGGAAGGUCCCCCACACUGGAACUGAGACACGGUCCAGACUCCUACGGGAGGCAGCAGUGAGGAAUAUUGGUCAAUGGGCGUAAGCCUGAACCAGCCAAGUAGCGUGCAGGAUGACGGCCCUAUGGGUUGUAAACUGCCUUUAUGCGGGGAUAAAGUGGCCCACGUGUGGGCUUUUGCAGGUACCGCAUGAAUAAGGACCGGCUAAUUCCGUG